Small RNA from Ensifer sp., 146 nucleotides. It matches the Rfam family "Rhizobiales sRNA Atu_C7". The record is from Rfam. Lineage: Bacteria; Pseudomonadati; Pseudomonadota; Alphaproteobacteria; Hyphomicrobiales; Rhizobiaceae.
UUGCUUGGGAAGUUUGAAGAGAGUCCCUGGCGGUGAAGCAACGCAGGUUCUCCUGGCGUGUCUUGGUGCAGCAGAUGUUCCCUCCCUCAUCUGUCUGCGAUGCGCCCCCCUUGCCUCGCUCGUCGACGCGACCAGCGAGGCAUUUU